CAAUUUUUCCUAGUUCGUAUCUCGAACGUGCUUGCGGCAUUUGUAGACACGUGCUCUGACGUUCGAGAUACAAAAUGCGCUCAGUGCUAACUUGUUUACAUCAUGAUACUUAGAAUCCGUGAUGUAAAACACAAUGCUAUUAACAAUUGUUACACUACCUUGACUUUGUAACCUUAGUUAGCAUAAAACUCUGAGGGCGUAAAACAGCUAACGUGGAAAUUUGUAAGCUUAUAAUAAAAUAAAUUUAAAUAUAGAAAGUAUCAAAAUUGUAAUCGUAACGUUGAAAUUUUAUGAUCCAAUUGAAGUAAAGGCCGACUGUGAGAGAUCGCUUUAAGAGAAAAAUCCGCCCAUUGUACUUUUAGAUAUAAGUUUUCUCAUUUACUUUUUUCAAUACAUUUUCGUUGUUUUUGUACGUGCCUUAACGAAAUAAGUGAAUUUUAUUGUAUUUCAGAUUUAUACGUAUUUCAAAAUACACAAGUUUUACUAUUAGGAAUUGAUGGGCGUUCUAAUUUGAAAAUGGUCUGCUCUUUUUAAGUUUUUCCGAAAGAGAAGCUCUUUGAAACUAGUUUUCAUUUCAAAAGAUUUUAGUAUAUUAUAUUACUAUGAGGUAGUGUAACGCUUAAAAAUCAACAUGUUUUUUACCUUCAUAGUGUAGAUGCAGAAAAACAAUUUAAAUUAUUCUUUCUGUUAUUUCAUGUAUCUGUGCUCUUUGUGGUAGAUAUUGUGACCCAAUUCAAUAUUACGAUACUAUUAUUUCCCAAUUUUUUUGUUAUUGUUUGUCAUUUAAGGUUAACACAUUUCUAUUUUAAAACGUAAAUAAAUACUAAUAAUACAUUUAAUGAUGUAAUUGAUUAAAUUAUACAAACUACGGUAACAAAGUUAUAGUAGGAAAUCGUCGUGGUCUAAAGGAUAAGAUGCCCGGUGCAUUUGUAUCAAGCGAUGCGACAGUGCCGGUGUUCGAAUCCCGCAGGCAGGUAACAAUUUUUGUAAUGAAAUAUAAUACGUACUCAACAAAUUUCACUAUUAACUUUCACGGUGAAGGAAAAACAUCGCGUAAUAAAAAUCAAACACGCAAAAAUAAAAUUUGCGUGAGUACUGGUGUUAGGACAUCUUGUGAGUCCACACGGGUAGGUACCACCGCCCUGCCUAUUACAGGCCUGAAACAGUAGUGCGUUUCGAUUUGAGGGGCGGGGCAGCCGUUGGACUGUAAAAACUGAAGCCUUCGAACUCAUGUCUCGUUGUUGAUGUCUAUGGGCCCCGGUAACCACUUAAGACCAAGUAGGUUGUGAGCUCGACAACGCAUCUUAGAAAAACAAAACAUUUAUAUAUCGUUUUAAAAAAACUAGUUUCUACAGUAAUUUCCUUAUAAUUUCAACUGUCAAAUGAAUAAAUAAUGAAGAUCAUAGGUGUGUCUUUCAUAAAUAAACAAAAACACUUAAUCAUAACGAGUACAAAGUCAUAUAACAAAACGAAAUCAUUAAAAAACUGUUAAAAAACAUCAGCGAGCCAUACGAAAAAAACUGGCUCGGCUUUAAUGACAUCGUGCUGAGAAUGGUUGUUAAAUUAUAGGGCAUCCAAACAAAAAGUGGUCAGUGACGUCUUUUCGUUUUAAUAAUAUAAUAAAUGUUUGAACUCAACUGAUGACCCGAUGCGCACGCUUUGCCGUCGACGCACGCAUCCUAUAUUAACGUUGCUACCAGGCGACCCGCUAUCAUUGUCGAUACGACUGUCGUACUGGAAGGUCGUGGCCAAGUGAUAUUCAGUGAAAAUGUAUACCAAUCCUUUCGAGCGAAAACACUCGGUUUUGAGGCAAGCACUCGACCGCUUCAUCAAGGGAGAGACGAGAUUGAGUUUUAGGAAGAAAAGUGAUUUCUCAAAGAGCAGCAAAUCGUCGGGAAGCUCUUCUUCUUUCGCUUCUUCCACAACGGAAUGUAAACAGAAAUUGAGCUCCAAGAGGUGAAGAGAACAGUUUCACUAAAGGAACCAGUGAUAACGCUUCGAAAUGGCCCAGUUCCAAGGAGGUCAAUUGCAGUAUUUGGUUCACAGUGGGAUGAAAUCGCUUUAUGGAAGUCUUAAGCAAAUAAGGAAGAGCUAGGCCCACGAUUUUGAUGACUAUUAUUGUAACUAGGAUAGUAUAAUACAUUACAUAUUGAUAUAAGAAUAUCUUCUUCAUAUUGAAGGGCUUUUAAUGAAUCAUUAAGUCCUCAAAGAUCAUCUUGAUACACUAUUAGAAACGAUACUAUGGUUAGACUAAGCCAGUGUGAAUAUUUAAGUGCACGAAAAAGCAGACAAAUAAAAGUUAUAUUCACUACUUAUGAUUCGAAUAUAUCUAGAUAAUUUGUACUAUCAAAUAUGCUAAUAAACAAUAAAUAAUUAAUCUUCAAA
Long non-coding RNA from Bombyx mori (domestic silkworm), 2385 nucleotides. RefSeq lists it as uncharacterized. NCBI's taxonomy places the organism in Eukaryota, Metazoa, Arthropoda, Insecta, Lepidoptera, Bombycidae. The record is from RefSeq and is a predicted model, not a curated record. The transcript is spliced from 2 exons.